Molecule: ribosomal RNA, 164 nt
Filed under: uncultured bacterium
Lineage: Bacteria
Description: partial 16S rRNA
Rfam family: Bacterial small subunit ribosomal RNA
Source: RNAcentral
UAGGGAAUCUUCCACAAUGGACGAAAGUCUGAUGGAGCAACGCCGCGUGAGUGAAGAAGGGUCUCGGCUCGUAAAACUCUGUUGUUAAAGAAGAACAUAUCUGAGAGUAACUGUUCAGGUAUUGACGGUAUUUAACCAGAAAGCCACGGCUAACUACGUGCCUG